ACCUGGUUGAUCUUGCCAGUAGUCAUAUGCUUGUCUCAAAGAUUAAGCCAUGCAAGUGAAAGUAUAUGCAUAUUUUAUAUGUAGAAACUGCGAACGGCUCAUUAAAACAGUUAUAAUCUACUUGACAUUUUAAUAUAAGGAUAACUACGGAAAAGCUGUAGCUAAUACUUGUAAAAGUACAUUACUUCUCGGAGUAAAUCUGUACGUAUUUGUUAAGGCACCCAAGAAAAAAUGAUAUUAAAGGAAUUAUAACAAAGAAGUUACACCACAACAAACGUUAGUGUGUAUCAAUCGAGUUUCUGACCUAUCAGCUUUUGAUGUUAGGGUAUUGACCUAACAUGGCUUUGACGGGUAACGGGGAAUUAGAGUUCGAUUCCGGAGAGGGAGCCUGAGAAAUAGCUACCACAUCUAAGGAAGGCAGCAGGCGCGUAAAUUACCCAAUUCUAAAUAAGAGAGGUAGUGACAAGAAAUAACAAUAUAAGGCCAAAUUUUGGUUUUAUAAUUGGAAUGAUGGGAACUUAAAAUCUUCCCAAAAAUCAAUUGGAGGGCAAGUCUGGUGCCAGCAGCCGCGGUAAUUCCAGCUCCAAUAGCGUAUAUUAAAAUUGUUGCAGUUAAAACGCUCGUAGUUAAAUUUCAAAGGAUAUAAAUAUUGUAAGAACGUGCUUGAUGAGAUUCAUCGUGACUCUGUCAUUGUACUCUACCUCGUCGUCCUUUUAAUUAUAGAUCCCUUUGAGAACCCAAUGAUUCAUCAAUGGGUUCUUGUUACUUUGAGUAAAUUAGAGUGUUUAAAGCAAAUAUUAUCUGGUAUAAUCUACUGUGUUUGAAUACUAUAGCAUGGAAUAACAACAUUGAAUAGGUCAAAAAUUUUUGAAAAAUUUUUCUUGUUUUGGCUUAGAUACAGUUAAUAGGAGUAGAUUGGAGGCAUUUGUAUUCAGAUGCUAGAGGUGAAAUUCUUAGAUUUUCUGGAGACAAACAACUGCGAAAGCAUUUGCCUAAAAUACUUCCAUUAAUCAAGAACGAAAGUUAAGGGAGUGAAGACGAUCAGAUACCGUCGUAAUCUUAACCAUAAACUAUGCCGACUAAGUGUUGGAUGAAAAUUUAUAAAUAAAACUAUCUUCUUUAAAGGAAUAGUUUUUUAGAUGCUUCCUUCAGUACCUUAUGAGAAAUCAAAGUCUUUGGGUUCUGGGGCGAGUAUUCGCGCAAGCGAGAAAGUUAAAAGAAUUGACGGAAGGGCACCACCAGGCGUGGAGCUUGCGGCUUAAUUUGACUCAACACGGGGAAACUCACUAGUUUAAGACAAGAGUAGGAUUGACAGAUUAAUAGCUCUUUCUUGAUUUCUUGGAUGGUGAUGCAUGGCCGUUUUUAGUUCGUGAAUAUGAUUUGUCUGGUUAAUUCCGAUAACGAACGAGAUCUUAACCUGCUAAUUAGCGGUGGGUGCGUGAUAUUCUUCGAAGGUGGACUAACUAUAGCGUUUUCGAAGAUAUGAUGCAUAAUCAUUCGGUUUGCCUUUUGUUUUUUUGUGUCAUGUUCUUUCGGUUUCGUUGUGUUUUUUCCCUAGUAAGGAUGCAUCCACUUUAUUUAAUGCUUCUUAGAGGAACGAUGUGUGCCUAACGCAAGGAAGUUUAAGGCAACAACAGGUCUGUGAUGUCCUUAGAUAUACUAGGCUGCACGCGUGCUACACUGAUAUGUAAAACGAGUACUUAAAACUAUAUCUCUAUGGUAGAUAAUCAAAUUCUACGUAUGUUAGAGUAUAUUUUUCCUACACUGAAAUAGUGAAGGUAAUCUUUAUCAAUACAUAUCGUGAUGGGGAUAGAUUAUUGCAAUUAUUAAUCUUGAACGAGGAAUGCCUAGUAAGCAUGAUUCAUCAGAUUGUGCUGACUACGUCCCUGCCCUUUGUACACACCGCCCGUCGCUCCUACCGAUUGAAAGAUAUGAUGAAUUGUUCGGACAAAUUAAAUAAAUUUUAAUUUUAAUUUUUUUGGAAGGGCCGUAAAUCCUAUCUUUUAAAGGAAGGAGAAGUCGUAACAAGGUUUCCGUAGGUGAACCUGCGGAAGGAUCAUUU
RNAcentral lists this ribosomal RNA (2062 nucleotides) under Plasmodium vinckei petteri. Its description in RNAcentral is "SSU rRNA". It matches the Rfam family "Eukaryotic small subunit ribosomal RNA". The record is from RNAcentral. Lineage: Eukaryota; Apicomplexa; Aconoidasida; Haemosporida; Plasmodiidae.